CCUACGGGUGGCAGCAGUGAGGAAUAUUGGUCAAUGGGCGAGAGCCUGAACCAGCCAAGUCGCGUGAGGGAAGACGGUCCUAUGGAUUGUAAACCUCUUUUGCCGGGGAGCAAAAAGCGGUACGUGUACCGCAUCGAGAGUACCCGGAGAAAAAGCAUCGGCUAACUCCGUGCCAGCAGCCGCGGUAAUACGGAGGAUGCGAGCGUUAUCCGGAUUUAUUGGGUUUAAAGGGUGCGCAGGCGGCGAGUUAAGUCAGCGGUAAAAUUUCGGGGCUCAACCCCGACAAGCCGUUGAAACUGGCUGGCUGGAGUUGGAGAGAAGUACGCGGAAUGCGCGGUGUAGCGGUGAAAUGCUUAGAUAUCGCGCAGAACCCCGAUUGCGAAGGCAGCGUACCGGCUCCACACUGACGCUGAGGCACGAAAGCGUGGGUAUCGAACAGGAUUAGAUACCCGUGUAGUC
RNAcentral lists this ribosomal RNA (459 nucleotides) under uncultured bacterium. RNAcentral's name for it is "partial 16S ribosomal RNA". It matches the Rfam family "Bacterial small subunit ribosomal RNA", at positions 338 to 795 of the family's 1533-position model. The record is from RNAcentral.